AGAGUUUGAUCCUGGCUCAGAACGAACGCUGGCGGCGCGCCUAAUACAUGCAAGUCGAGCGAGAAGGUGUAGCAAUACACUUGUAAAGCGGCGAACGGGUGAGGAAUGCAUGGGUAACCUACCCUCGAGUGGGGAAUAACUAGCCGAAAGGUUAGCUAAUACCGCAUACGUUUCCGGGACUUCGGUUCCGGAAAGAAAGCAAUACCGUGGGUAUUGCGCUCAUGGAUGGGCUCAUGUCCUAUCAGCUUGUUGGUGAGGUAACGGCUCACCAAGGCUUCGACGGGUAGCUGGUCUGAGAGGACGAUCAGCCACACUGGCACUGCGACACGGGCCAGACUCCUACGGGAGGCAGCAGUAAGGAAUAUUGCGCAAUGGACGAAAGUCUGACGCAGCGACGCCGCGUGGGGGAUGAAGGUCUUCGGAUUGUAAACCUCUUUCAGUAUCGGCGAAGCUCCAGGAUUUUUCUUGGGGUGACGGUAGGUACAGAAGAAGCACCGGCCAACUACGUGCCAGCAGCCGCGGUAAUACGUAGGGUGCGAGCGUUGUCCGGAAUUACUGGGCGUAAAGAGCUCGUAGGUGGUUUGUCACGUUGUCCGUGAAAACUCACAGCUUAACUGUGGGCGUGCGGGCGAUACGGGCAGACUGGAGUACUGUAGGGGAGACUGGAAUUCCUGGUGUAGCGGUGGAAUGCGCAGAUAUCAGGAGGAACACCGGUGGCGAAGGCGGGUCUCUGGGCAGUAACUGACGCUGAGGAGCGAAAGCGUGGGGAGCGAACAGGAUUAGAUACCCCGGUAGUCCAA
RNAcentral lists this ribosomal RNA (800 nucleotides) under uncultured bacterium. RNAcentral describes it as "bacterial SSU rRNA". It matches the Rfam family "Bacterial small subunit ribosomal RNA", at positions 8 to 798 of the family's 1533-position model. The record is from RNAcentral.